RNAcentral lists this non-coding RNA (323 nucleotides) under Bacteroides stercoris. Its description in RNAcentral is "Bacterial small subunit ribosomal RNA". It matches the Rfam family "Bacterial small subunit ribosomal RNA", at positions 1 to 316 of the family's 1533-position model. The record is from Rfam by way of RNAcentral. Lineage: Bacteria; Pseudomonadati; Bacteroidota; Bacteroidia; Bacteroidales; Bacteroidaceae.
ACAAUGAAGAGUUUGAUCCUGGCUCAGGAUGAACGCUAGCUACAGGCUUAACACAUGCAAGUCGAGGGGCAGCAUCAUCAAAGCUUGCUUUGAUGGAUGGCGACCGGCGCACGGGUGAGUAACACGUAUCCAACCUGCCGACAACACUGGGAUAGCCUUUCGAAAGAAAGAUUAAUACCGGAUGGCAUAAUUAUUCCGCAUGGGAUAAUUAUUAAAGAAUUUCGGUUGUCGAUGGGGAUGCGUUCCAUUAGGCAGUUGGCGGGGUAACGGCCCACCAAACCAACGAUGGAUAGGGGUUCUGAGAGGAAGGUCCCCCACAUUGG